UGGUUGUCAUCUUAUGAGUAUGAAAUUAGUUAGUUUAUAUAGUUGA
This 46-nucleotide transfer RNA is filed under the name Hymenolepis diminuta. RNAcentral describes it as "partial tRNA-Trp". The record is from RNAcentral. Lineage: Eukaryota; Metazoa; Platyhelminthes; Cestoda; Cyclophyllidea; Hymenolepididae.